CCUGAGGAGAGGCGCGUGCCGCUGAGGGGAGAGUACACCUGAGGGGCGAGUACACCUCUGUGACAGAGGCACUAGAGAUGACACGAAGAAAGCAUCGGAGGGCACACCCACAAGCCAAACCAGCCCUUUUGGAAGCAAGAUGUUCCAUCAGACAGUGGAAGAGCAGACAGAAAUUCUACAUUCUGAUUUGGGAGCUGAACUUCCUCACUGCUCAGCAGUUCUCCUCCCAGAAAAAUUUGGGAGUGCUUCAACUGCUCUCAGGGUUGCAAGAUUCCUUCCAGCACAAGGAACAAAGUUAAGUUCAUAUUC
Molecule: long non-coding RNA, 309 nt
Organism: Passer domesticus (house sparrow)
Lineage: Eukaryota; Metazoa; Chordata; Aves; Passeriformes; Passeridae
Exons: 4
Source: RefSeq, a predicted model, not a curated record